AGCAGCCGCGGUAAUUCCAGCUCCAAUAGCGUAUAUUAAAGUUGUUGCAGUUAAAAAGCUCGUAGUUGAAUUUUGGGUCUGGCCGGGCGGUCCGCCCUCCGGGUGAGCACUGUUCCGACGUCGGGCCUAUCCUUCUGGUGAGUCGGCAUGUCCUUUGUUGGGUGUGUCGGGGAACCAGGACCAUUACCUUGAAAAAAUUAGAGUGUUCAAAGCAGGCGUAUGCUCGGAUACAUUAGCAUGGAAUAAUGAAAUAGGACGCGUGGUGCUAUUUUGUUGGUUUCUAGAACCGCCGUAAUGAUUAAGAGGGACAGACGGGGGCAUUAGUAUUGCGACGUUAGAGGUGAAAUUCUUGGAUCGUCGCAUGACUAACUACUGCGAAAGCAUUUGCCAAGAAUGUUUUCAUUAAUCAAGAACGAAAGUUAGAGGUUCGAAGGCGAUCAGAUACCGCCCUAGUCCUAACCGUAAACGAUGCCAACCAGCGAUCUGUAGGGCAUAA
RNAcentral lists this ribosomal RNA (496 nucleotides) under uncultured Glomeromycotina. Its description in RNAcentral is "SSU rRNA". It matches the Rfam family "Eukaryotic small subunit ribosomal RNA", at positions 569 to 1066 of the family's 1831-position model. Lineage: Eukaryota; Fungi; Glomeromycota. The record is from RNAcentral.